GCAGUAGCCACGGUAAUACGAAGGGGGCUAGCGUUGUUCGGAAUUACUGGGCGUAAAGCGCACGUAGGCGGACAUUUAAGUCAGGGGUGAAAUCCCGGGGCUCAACCCCGGAACUGCCUUUGAUACUGGGUGUCUAGAGUAUGGAAGAGGUGAGUGGAAUUCCGAGUGUAGAGGUGAAAUUCGUAGAUAUUCGGAGGAACACCAGUGGCGAAGGCGGCUCACUGGUCCAUUACUGACGCUGAGGUGCGAAAGCGUGGGGAGCAAACAGGAUUAGAUACCCGCGUAGUCCCUGUCUCUUAUAC
Molecule: ribosomal RNA, 302 nt
Filed under: uncultured bacterium
Lineage: Bacteria
Description: partial 16S ribosomal RNA
Rfam family: Bacterial small subunit ribosomal RNA
Source: RNAcentral